GAGGGUAUAGCUCAGUGGUAGAGUGCAUGCUCAGCAUGCACAAGGUCCUGGGUUCAAUCCCCAGUACCUCCU
This 72-nucleotide transfer RNA is filed under the name Camelus bactrianus (Bactrian camel). It matches the Rfam family "tRNA". Rfam says of the family: Transfer RNA (tRNA) molecules are approximately 80 nucleotides in length. Their secondary structure includes four short double-helical elements and three loops (D, anti-codon, and T loops). RNAcentral also lists the same sequence under 2 other names. The record is from Rfam by way of RNAcentral. Lineage: Eukaryota; Metazoa; Chordata; Mammalia; Artiodactyla; Camelidae.